Maniola jurtina (meadow brown) is the source of this 1857-nucleotide long non-coding RNA. RefSeq lists it as uncharacterized. The record is from RefSeq and is a predicted model, not a curated record. The transcript is spliced from 2 exons. Lineage: Eukaryota; Metazoa; Arthropoda; Insecta; Lepidoptera; Nymphalidae.
UUCUGUAAUAUUUUGUAAAGAUUUAAUCCUUCAAUAAUUUCAUAUCACAGUGCAGUAGCUAGUUAACUUCCAUCUUGUUAUAUUUGUUUCUAAAUUCUAAAUAUUAUUAAUUUUAUUUAUAAAUACAAAAAUAGUUACAUUAUCUUUGGCAACAUUGUACACGCUAUGGCGCAUAUUACACUCAAUAGUAUCCGUAUCACUCGAUGGUUCACUCUAGUUCGAUCCACGUUCCACGAGUUUAUAAUAGGUACAAAAACAUUGAUGGUUGUUAGGCUAGGCACCUAUAGAAAUCCUAUGACCCGAAUCGCGAUACGGUAUUGAUAGUGUAACACCUCCAUUAAAGUGCACUGCAACACAACCGUUUAUUAGUAAUUUUUAUUUCUGCCUUAUCAAAGGCAGUUGAAGCGAAACGACUUUUAUGCUCCGGCUACACGCUCCGUCUUGGCUGAGCAGUUUUAACUGCGUAGGGAAGAUCGACCUGUAUAAUUUUUUGCAGCUUUUGGAACUGCGCGGGAUACCGUCUUGGUGUCCACACGCACGCACUGAGCAAACUGACUUGUCUCAGACAAGACGGAGCGUGUGGUCAGAGCGUCUACGUAACGAAACAACCCCACAGGUUGCUGUUCUUAUUGUAUUUAGGUUCAUAUUUUCUGCUGUCCUAUAUCUAGAAAGCUGUUAACUGAAAAAAUUUUUUACAUCGGACCAAACUGAAAACCUAAAAACCUUGGUCCUUGUUAGCAUUUUUUCAGAACUUAUUGAUUUUUAAAAAUUCUCACGUUUUUGGAGAUUACUCGAAACUAUUUUUUGCAAUUGACGGUCUUCUUAGAUAUGAAGUUUUGUAGUACAGUGUAUAACUAGUAACUUAUCUAUCUUAAAAAAAUACCUCUACUAAUUAUUUGGUAUCUUGGAAUCCACACGUGCUUUCAUGCAUAUCUGCCAUUAAAAAGUUGUCGACUAAGACAAAGGUUCCUUGGUGUGUGUGAAACCAACAUAUGUAGGUGACGCCAAAUUUCUUGAAUGCUCUGAAGUUCUUGUUUGCAUAAUACUUAGAUGGUUACAUCACCACUUCAGAGCAUUCAAGAAAUUGGCCAUCACCUGCCAACACGCUGCAUAGGUACUCUAUACCGCACUGCCUUCCUAUCUCCUAUACAUAUAGUUUAAAAAGCGGUUAACUGCAAAAAAUACUCAAAAAUAUGGGAUUUUAGGAAAACUGAUGUUUCUAAAAAAAAUUGCUACGUAGAACCAAACUGAAAACUACCUAAACAUCGUAGCAUUUUUUUAAAACAUUAGAUUUUGAAAAUCUGCAAUCAUUUUUUUUUUACAGUUAACGGCUUUUUAUAUAAGUAAAGGACGGCAGUGCACGCAGCGUUAGCAUGCCGUUUGUGUUUUUGCACAGCAAAAAAACCUGGCAUACUAUAUUUCACUAGUAUUCGAGGGCCGCCUGCAUGAGUACGUACCUUACCUGAAGUACGAUAUACGUAUAAGAACCAAGAUAGGUAUAUACAGAUAUCACACCAAGGCACCCCUACUCUUAGUCAUUAUAAAAUUAGUAAUCCUAGUCAGCCUUUGUAUAGCCUAUUAUUUUAAUUAAAUGUCUUAUGGCAGAUCUUUCAAUCUUCAAGUAAACUUUAACUUAGAUAAAUAUAUUAUUUGACGAUUGAUUUUAGAUUGAAAAAAAUAUAGAAAUAAUUAUAGAUAAGAGUUAUAAUAAUUUUAAAAGCAAAUAAUUUAUGGUAUUAGUAUUUGAAUUAAAUGACUCCUAGUUAAUCAGGUUUAAUGUGCCAGGAAAACAGCUGAUUGUCUCAAAGCCAGUCUAUGUAGCCAACUGAUGCUUUGGAAAACAUGUUGGUGGAUUUU